AAAAACUACAAGCAUAAGCUCAAAACUCAAAGAACUUGGCGGCGCUUUAGACCCACCUAGAGGAGCCUGUCCUAUAACCGAUAACCCCCGUUAAACCUUACCUUCUUUUGCAUCCAGUCUAUAUACCGCCGUCGUCCAGCCCACCCUUUAAAGGCAAAAUAGUAGGCAAGACUAGUAAAGCCCAAGACGCCAGGUCAAGGUGUAGCAUAUAAGAAGCGGAGAGAUGGGCUACAUUUCCUAACUCAGGGCUUCACGAAAAGUAUUUUGAAAUAAAUAUAUUGAAGUAGGAUUUAGCAGUAAGUAAAAAAUAGAGAGUUUUACUGAAGCUGGCCCUGAAGUACGCACACACCGCCCGUCGUUCUCUCCUAGCCUUAAUUUUCUAAUUAUAUAAAACAAAACAUCUGCAAAGGAGAGACAAGUCGUAACAUGGUAAGAGUACUGGAAAGUGCUCUUGGACAAAA
This 461-nucleotide ribosomal RNA is filed under the name Rivulus sp. 'Tobogan'. RNAcentral's name for it is "partial 12S ribosomal RNA". It matches the Rfam family "Bacterial small subunit ribosomal RNA", at positions 874 to 1533 of the family's 1533-position model. The record is from RNAcentral. Lineage: Eukaryota; Metazoa; Chordata; Actinopteri; Cyprinodontiformes; Rivulidae.